GACGAACGCUGGCGGCGUGCCUAACACAUGCAAGUCGAACGGGGUAAUUUCCUUCGGGAGAUUACUUAGUGGCGAACGGGUGAGUAACGCGUGAGAAACCUGCCUUUCAGUGGGGGACAACAGUUGGAAACGACUGCUAAUACCGCAUAAUGUACACGGACCGCAUGAUCUGUGUACCAAAGCUUUAUGUGCUGAAAGAUGGUCUCGCGUCUGAUUAGCUAGAUGGCGGGGUAACGGCCACCAUGGCGACGAUCAGUAGCCGGUCUGAGAGGAUGAACGGCCACAUUGGGACUGAGACACGGCCCAGACUCCUACGGGAGGCAGCAGUGGGGAAUAUUGCGCAAUGGGGGAAACCCUGACGCAGCAACGCCGCGUGAAGGAUGAAGGCC
This 389-nucleotide ribosomal RNA is filed under the name uncultured bacterium. RNAcentral describes it as "bacterial SSU rRNA". It matches the Rfam family "Bacterial small subunit ribosomal RNA", at positions 28 to 416 of the family's 1533-position model. The record is from RNAcentral.